GUAGUAAAAAUUGAAAAAUGUGAGAAACAAGUGACAGAGGAAGGAGAGGAGAAACCGAGAAAGAGAAGAAGGAUCGGAGAGGAUCCCUUAAGAGUUAAGACACACUCUUUGGAUCCUAAUUCCUAAUUCCUAAAUUCUAAAACCUAUUUCUUGUCUUAUAUUCCUCUUCACAACCACAACAAACAAUACAUAUGCAGAGGUCGAGUGGUAGUGUUCGCGGAUCCUUGAAUUCCGACAUGGACACCGACCAACACCUACCCACAUACGAUCCUCUCUCCCACGUUGCCCAGAGAGACCUCUCUCGUCUCAGAUCAGCGCAAAACGCUGUCCAUCUUAUCCCUCUUCUCGUUCUCCUCUGCGCCAUCAUCCUCUGAUUCCACGAUUUGAUGGAUGAACUAUUUCACCUUAUGGUCAACGCCUGGUAAAACCCUCACCAUUAUGUUGACUUUUUCACUAAAGUCUCGGGAAGGAACGAAACGAUACCUGCUUGCAGAAACAAAUAUGCGGUGGAUCUCGUCUACUUGUCCUGGAAUCUAGAUACAAAAUUUAUUACGCUCUGUAUUAUUAGAUUGAUUUUUGUAUGUGUUCUCUUAUUCAUUCAAAUCGAAUUUAGUGUAAAAACUUUACAAUAAUUCAUUAUCCCAAACAACUGAGUUAUACCUUGUGAUUAUUUGUUUGUAUGUUUAUUCAUUCACAACAUUUCUUUAA
Molecule: long non-coding RNA, 708 nt
Organism: Cajanus cajan (pigeon pea)
Lineage: Eukaryota; Viridiplantae; Streptophyta; Magnoliopsida; Fabales; Fabaceae
Source: RefSeq, a predicted model, not a curated record